AUUUUGAUCACAUGACCAUGGGGAUGCUGCAAUGGUUGAAUGAAAUGUUCUGGGGAGAUUAAAUAAAAUGGGAUGACAAACACUUCCUCCUUAUUUCACAAUGACAAGAAAAGUCUAGAAGAAUGGUGGAAGUGGAUGCUUCCCAACAAUAAAACUGAAGAUGCUUUGUGACAACCCCAGAUUUGGCAGUGAUUCCAUAUCCUUGGUAGAUUUGGGUUCUCAGUUUUCUAUUUGAGUAGAGUAUUCUAGUCAAUUAACAACAAUUACACAAGGAAAAUUCUAAAAACAGAAGACACAAUUAUAACACACUAGGCACAAUCAUAAAAAUCAUUCAAAAGGCUAUACUAAAAAGAGAUGAAUUGAUGGCUUUUUCUAAAAGCAGAGAGAGUGCAGGUUCAAUUUAGUUACAGAAGAAAUGCAUACAGAAUGUGCAGAGUAUAUAGAAAGAGAGCAUUACCUAAUAUAUAUGACUAGCCAUAUCUUUCAUGCAGGGACAUCUUUAGAAAUAACUUUUCUACUACUCUUAAUGUCCAGGCAGUUCACCAUAACAAAGGCAGACCUCAGAUAGUCCAAAUUAAUUUUGAUCUGAGCUUGAAAGGAUAACAUUAACACCCUAAAUUGACCUAGAAAAAUAAAUAUGGAAGGCAGAGUUUCUAUGCAUAGGUGAGUAUCCAUCACUUUGCUUCUGGCUAUUUAACUGUGUCUCGGUAUCCCUGUUGUUACCUACAAUCUGGCUGAUUUCCAUAUUAGAGUAUAAAAGUGGGGAGGAGGCCCUUUGUGUUUAGAUUAAAUGCCAUUUUCUAUGCUUCUUAUGAGGAUUCCAAAUGUAAAGAAACAUUCAUCACAAAUGCUCUUAAAAUAUGCCACUCUUUUAGCAUGCAAUUUUGAAAGCACUGCGUCUUCUCCCUUGCUAGGUCUUCAGUGGAGUUCAUCAUUGAAAUCUGAAAUGGUUUUCUAACUUACAGCUUUGUCUACAUGGACAUUUUCAGUAGGGUUUCUAGAGGAAUACAGAUCAGACCUAUCCAUUGAAGCAUAUAUUUUUUUCCCAGAUUAAUUACAAAAAAUAAAUAAAUAAAUAACGGUAUGACUCAUCAACACAACAGCAUUGGAAAAGACAUACCAUGGCACGGAUACAUUUGAGAAUGUGUCAAAGGUUUAAUUAAUUUAGACAGUGGCUAUAGUUUGAAAUGUCUACAUUUUUUGAAGCACAGGAAAAAAUGUAUACACAUGGUAACUCUCUCCCUCUCCCUCCCCCCCCCUCUCUGUGUGUAUGUUUGUGUGUGUUUUAAAUAUAUUUUAUAUGGGAUUGUAACUAGCUAGAUUGAGACAAGUGCUGUAUCCAGCCAGGGCAUGCUCAAUAAAAAUAUUACUUGAAUUUCUACAUUGCACUUGAUGAAACUAUUAUUGUUGGAAAGCUCUCCAGGAAGCCCAUAUGUCUCACAGGAACUGCUUGUUGAUCUGAUUGCUCCCAUGACUUAUUUCUGAUGCAGAGAAACAUCCUGUGCUGAUCUUGUUUUAUAUAGAGUUUAUUUUAUAUAACAGUGAUCUGUUAUUGGCAGGCCUCUCUGUCUGCUCUCUUCCUGAGCCAUUUUGUUGAUUGGAAUGGCUUACUAAAUAUUGCGGAACUGAGAGGAUAGGCAUGGCCAUAGAUUUCUUUGGGGUAACUCACAAGUUUUGUUUUCUUUAAAUAAUCCAUUAAUAUGUUUAUGACACUGAACCACCACUAGCAAUUUCCUCCCUUGUCUGAAAUAUUUUUGCAUGCUCCACAAACCUUUAUUAUUAUUAUUAUUAAUUCAAGUCAUUGUUGACUCCUGGCAACUGCUCGCACAAGUCCCUGCAGUUUUCUUGGCAACAUUUUUUUUUCCAGAAGUGAUUUGCCUUUGCCUGCUUCCUAGGAUUGAGAGAUAAUGACUGGACUAAGGGCAGCCAGCUGGCUUCAUGCCUAAGUUGGAACUAAAACUUGGUCUCCUGGUUUCUAGCAUGAUGCUUUAACCACUAUACCAAAUAGGCUCUUUUAGCAGAAUGUAAAGAGAAAAAGAUUUACCACACAUAACAACUAAAACACAUUGGGUCAAAUGAAUGUAGUCAUGCAUAAAACGUUGACUGAAAACAUGACAGCACUGAGAAUGCACUAAUCCUGAUCAGAUUUAUUUCCAGAUAGAACUUCAAAAGCAAUUUAUUUUUCUCUAAGCUGCUUAGUCAGUAAUAAUGGCAAAGAUAUGGGAUUGACUUUAAAGCAAAUCACAAAUUGCUCAUGUGCAAGUUUCAAAUUAAGCUAAAAUAGUAGAAGAAAGCCAAUCAGUUUCCACAAUACUGGUGGAAACUUGAGCAUUUGUCUGAGAUGAUAAAAGGUCUCCUACCAUAGGCAGAGGAUUGGACUAGAAGACCUUCAAGAUCCCUUCCAGUCCUAUGAUUCUAUAAACCCACAAUUUUUAGGGUGAACAUCAGGAAAUGCUUUGAAAUAUUGAACCUCGUGAUUGGAAACCAGAAGAACUAUGUAAUGAACUUAACAAAGUGUGAAGGAUGAACACAAACUCAGAUUGCCAGAGUUCAAGAAACAGAAGAAUGCAAACUGGAUGUGAGGGGGAAAAACAACAACAUAUGGAGACUGCAAAGCAGAGAAGAGAAACCAAGACUAAGAAAGUGAAAGAUCAUAAAAAUAAAAUUAAACAUUUAAGAGAGCUGCUAGAAGUCAAACUAUGGGAUGUACUUAGAAAAAUAGGAAGCCCAGAACUUCUCACUUGAAAUGUAUGUACAAGUCAGUCACAGUCUAGGUAGAACACAGUGAAACAGACAAAGUUUGGGUUGGGAAAGGGGUGAGAGAAAGCUACACACUCUCUCCUUCUCUAUUCAGCUUCUAUGUGGAAUAUAUAUUGAAGGAAACUGGCUAGGAAGAAGAUGAGGGUGGCUUUUAAGAGUGGAGGAAGAAACAUGAAUAAUCUUUGCUUUGCUGAUGGUACUUGAAAAAGAUACGAGAAAAUGCAAAUGGAAUACAUGCUCUAGUGCUAAAUAUUAAAGAGCAGAGUGGAAAGAUGGUAUUAAAAUUAAAUAUAUAUAAAAAAUUCCAAAUCUAAUCACAACAGAUAGAAGAAUCAGCCUUAGAAUUGACAGUGGAGAUAUAUAUCCACUGUAUAUGUAUAUGUAUAUGUCAAUUUUAUUAAUAUUUUGCCUGUGGUUUGUUCAAACAAAUCUUCAAAAGAAAACAAAAAUCACCCCAGAGUUCUCACUGGAGGUACAAAUGACCAGGCUCAAAUUGUCUUACUUCAGACAGAUUAUGUGAAGACUCAACUCUUUGGAGAACUCUAUAAUGCUGGCAAAGGUGGAGGGAAAGAAAAAGGAGUAUGACCAGCAAGAUGGAUGGACUCAAUUAUAGUGAUAAUGGGCACACCCAAAGGACCAGGUUGGAGAUAGAUCAUUCCAGAUCUAUCUACAGUAUGAGGUUGCUAAGAGAUGACACCAAUCUAAUGGUAUAUAAUCUAUCAAUCAAGUCUGUUUAGAGAUGCAUAUAUUGGGCUGUCUUAAUCUGUGAUCAGGCUGGUCCUAGAGGAAAAAGAAAUAGUGACUGAUGUAAGAGGCAUGUUAUAUAAAGCAAGGUAACCAACAAAUUUAAGGACAUAUCUAAAUAUUAUAAUGUGUUUCACAUUUUAUUUAUUUCAUUUGAAAGAAACAUAACAAAGAUUGAUUUGGGCUACAAUAUGACCCCAGGUUGUAAUAUUAUUUUUGGCUUUUCUUUCUUUCUUUUUUUAA
Molecule: long non-coding RNA, 3747 nt
Organism: Crotalus tigris (Tiger rattlesnake)
Lineage: Eukaryota; Metazoa; Chordata; Lepidosauria; Squamata; Viperidae
Exons: 3
Source: RefSeq, a predicted model, not a curated record